GUUUAUGUUUAAUGAUUAUGUUUAAUAAUCUAAUUUUGUUUCAUAAUGCCUUUUGAAAAGGUUUCAGUCUCACCGCGAGAUCCCUUCCAAGAGGCACUGCCCCUACUGCUGCAACGGCCCCAGUCUGGGACGCCCUUUUGUAAGGGGUUGUGUUUUUCGUUCUGCAGCUGACUUGGGUUUCUUCUGCCACUGUCCCAUGAAAGAGUUGAUUUGCUUCAGUCCAUCCCUGCUCCGUUCCUGGUUCAAGCCAAGCUCCAGUCCCUUCCCCGGUCUCAGUGGGAUCAGUUUGUUCUCUUCUCAUCCACUUACAGAAACAGAAGCUACGAACCCACCAAACCCUGGGACAGGUAUUUCCCUACAGAAGCAUUCAUGUUCUUCUUCUGGCCCCUUUGGCCAGUUCCCAGCUCUCCAAACUGAGGCGUACGGCUGCAGCCCUCCCCAUGGCUUCUUUGGGGCAGCUGUGGGGCAGCUCCACCCAGAGGAGGAGAUGCCUUUUCCCCACACGCAACUGGUUCUACAUCCACAUGAGAUAUCCCUUACACCCUCAGCCCCCCCCCCUGCUUCUCGGACUCCCACAGUUUCUGAGAGGACCGCCAUCACCAUCCCAGGAUCCCCAUAUCCCACCGAUGAGGAACCCCACAUCAAUCCACAUCUCAGGAUGGGGCUUCAGCUGUGCCCCGAUGCAUUCAUUCAAGAGAGGAGAAUGAAUGAGCGUAAGGGGGCGCCUUUCCUCCUGACAUUACCCACCGCCUGCGUGUUGGCUGUGCCGUGCCAGCAGCAUUUUGUCCUCGAGCUGUGAGUGCAGAAAACGCCGUCCUUUUGCUGAACUUUGCUCAUUGUACACCCGUCAUCACAGCAAAAAACGCUCGGUGCUGCCCUGGGAAACUCAGCAAUCUCCACAGCGUUGCUCUCCAAGUUAGCACGCUCAUGGCCAGGCUUUGUUCCCUGCAGCUCUUUGCAUGUGCUUUGCAGACAGUCUGUCUGUGGGCAGUGCAAAGGACUGCUGCCUCCGUUGCAUCACUGGACGACAGCAUUCGCUGACGGAGCUGUGGCAGUUCUGAGCGAGCGCCGCGAGACCAAUAACGAGGAGGUGGUGCAGCAGCUCUCCGAGUGCCGCUGGACAAAUCAGGCCUUUCGCACUCUGUGAAUCUAUAAAUUUGACUGGUUUUUAUUGACUUCGUUUGAAGGUGGAGUGCUGAGAUGGGCGGCACUCAGCGCUGCCCUGUAACGCCGCGCACUGCAGAAGCUGCUGCCUGCUGACGCUCCUCCUCUCAGUCCUUCAGCUGCAGCUUCUGCAUCAUCUCCACAAGGCUGUCCACUGCGGAGGCCUGGGAAGAAACGGAGCGAGGGUAGAAACAGGACACCACUUCCCUCGGGAUUUUACACUCUCUUCCUUUCAUGUGUGACAGACGGAGGCCCUGAGAACAAGAAGAGCCGUGUCUGUGUUCACCAAGGACUCACCUUCUGCACGUGCAGCGGCAGCUCUGAGGGCAGCCUUCUUCAGCUCCACUCUCCUCUCUUUCUGUCGCUGUCUUCUUGCUAUAGGCAAUAAACAUAGAUGAAUUCAUUUUAUCAGCAGCACAAGUGCAGAAACAUGGGUGCCGUACAAGCAUAAGGCAGCAAAAAGACGGAGGAAAUGGGACUAGGAAGCCUCCUUGUGAAUGAAAUUUCCAGGGGGACGUGCAGAAGACCACCCUGGAGUUAACGGGAAGAGAAGGGGUUACACGUUCGGGCACCUCACUGCCUUUGGACUUUGUAGCCUUCCACUCUUUUCCCCUCCACAGAGAAGGAAAAAGCAAAGCCAACCCUAAGCAAACUCAGUGUGCUCGCACAGGGAAGUGCCUCAGCACGGCGGGUACCACAGCACCUUCUCACCUCUUUGCUUGGAGCUCCGCGCUGCAGCAGGCCCAGGGUGUGCUGCUGGAGCCGGCACACAGUCUCCACUCGGCCCCCUCACUCUCUUAUUGGAAGGCAGCUGAGCUGCUGUUGGUUUCUCUUCCUCCAAGGCCUUGCGUUUAUAUCCAGCCAGGGUGCUGGAGACAGAGCGGGGGCACACGGCAGGGGAAGGUCUUCCCCCUGUGCUGGGACCUGCUCUUCUAAGAGGACCUCCAGCCUGGAGAGGAGCUUGAGCUGCUGCCUGUUGAGAAGCUCUCUCAGUAUGGACCUGCUGGACCACUUUGACAUAGAUUUUGUCAUUUCGCUCAGCACCAAUCUCUGUUAAGAAAGGAAAAACAAGGAGAUUUAAUGAGAGCCCAACACUACUUUCAGCCUGCAAAACGGGUCACAAUCCUGGGACAUCUCAUCUCAAGUGCUCACGGUCAUGGAUCAUAGGAUCUCGGCUGAACUGUGGGUUCACAUUUCUAAUCAGCACAGGAAUGCUAACUGUACAUGCCAGGGAUUAAGACCAGAACAAACACACAACGUCCACAGUCCCAGGAAAGGACGGACAGAAAGCCUCACUAGAGAGACAGUGCACCAAACCCAGGUGCCUGCUGUGUGUCUGUACCUCUCUUGGGUGCUGUGCCACACUGGGCGCUUCUGCCUUGCCUUUCUGCAAGGCUGCGCUUUGCUGGAAGGCCGCUCGCAUCAGCUUCUGGCAGAAAGGAGACAAGACAGACAUGAAGAGCAUCUCUAUGGCGGAAGAUUUGAGCACAGCCAACCACAAUCUUCUGGUCUUCAAGAGCAGUUUCUUCAGCUUGCCUUUCUGCUGCUACAACAUUAUGCCGCUUCUGCAGUCAGCACAGCUCACAAGAGCUUCUUACCUGCGGAGGCUUUGCGUUUCCAGCCUUGCCCAGCACCACUCCAUGGACGCGCAGGCUCCAUCCCUACAACAACAGAUGGUGUGUUGAUUUCACAGACACCAGCAGGCAGCAGAAGUACUGCCCAGUAUGCCCACGUCCCCCCAGAAAACAGAAAGAGGCUACUUGGACAGCCCAAACACAAACUGAUUGAGAGUUCACUUCUCACUGCUCCUUCCUGCACUCCAAAGGGAUGCUCACUUGACAUCCCCUGCAGCGCUGCACCCGCCCAGAAGGAAUACUCAAAAUUCAUUCCUCCACACUUCACGACAGAUGGCUGAAGAAACUCACUUCUGUAUGGCAUGAAGGACCGUCCGUCCCUGUUGCGUCCCUCUGUGCGCUGGAAGGCGCGGUGGGAUCUCUGGCAGCCUGCUGGCUGCUGCUCCCAACCGCGGGGAACCGCACCGCGCCGCUUCUGAAGAGAGAAAGGAAGAAACGGUGGUGGGAACGGGCAGCCAAGGCUUGCAGAGAGGUUCCAGAUGGUGCCAGAGAGGGGAUGUCAGAGUGCUGAGACACUGAUUAUCACUAAGGGAAAAGACGGCCUGAGCCACGUCCGCGUUGUUAGCCCAGGCUGUCAGCAGUGAGCGCUGAAUGCAACCGGUUACUGAGGUCACCAAGGACCAGCAGGGCUCCCCCUGCUCCAUCCAUUCCCCAUGAUAAAAAGAGAAAGGAAGAACCAAGCAGAAGAAGCCCAGCCAUACCUUGCCACUCAGACGGCAGCAAUUGGAACCGCGGUCGUCUCCGUGCUGAGACAUGGCCGCUGAAGGCUCAGAGGAAGCUGAAGGUCCCAGGCCUCUGUGCACAGGAACUUCCCCGGCCCUUGCAAAGAGCUGGCUUCCCUCUUCCUCCGACUGCCUCGAUCCCAAAAUCUCCCUUGGGACAGGAACCCUGCAGAGAGUACCGACGAGUGCACACGCGGUGCUUCUGACGGGCUCUCACAGGGUGAUCUGUUCCACGGAAGGCCCAGAGCUCAGCCUCGGUGUGCAGCACGCUCACCAGAGCACCAGCUCUGCUCACCAGCUGUGGCGGAAACGCUGCCAGCCCAGCAGUGAUUGUGACCUCAGCGAGUGCCCGCAUCGCUUCCGUGCUUUCAUCAUAAGCGAAGGAAAUGGACGACUCCCUGAUCCACAUCUUAGGAAAUCACCACCAGGGUCACCCAGUGGGGUUAUUUGAAUAAUGGAGAAGUGAAGAUGACUGUUGUGCAGCCCAGUAAAAACCAGUCAAGACCAGUAUGGCCUCAGAGUGGUCAAUGGAGUCCCAGGGGAACCCGUAGAAAACUAAACCCAGGGCCUGUGCCAGCAUCUCUGUUUGGGGCUUUGAGUCCCAGGGCUGAUUUCAGCCUCUCCGGCUGUGGCUUUAAGUCCCAGGGCCAGUGCUGGGCUCCCCGCCUGUGUCUGUGGCCUCAGGCCCUUGGCUGCUUCUGGCCUCUGCAGCUGGCAUUGUGGCUUUAAGCCCUUGGACUGGUUCCAGCCUUUCAGGCUGUGGUUUUGGUCCCCAGGAUUGGUACCAAAUUUGAAGAAACCAACAGGAGGCUCACCCAAUGGGGUUCUGUGAAGCAUCAGAACAGAGAAAUACACACGAUUGUUGUGUAGCCAGGCUGGGUCAGCCUCUCGCUCAGGUGCUGCAUGAUUCGAAGCAGGAGACGUUUCCCCCAGGCUGCAUCCUGAUUGGGGUCAUUGGAGACAAUGGGGUCAUUGGGGUCUAUGGGGACAUUGGAGUCAAUGGGGUCACUGGGGUCAAUGGGGGUCAUUGGGGUCAGUGGGGGCCAUAGGGGUCUUUGUGGUCAUUGAAUUAAAUGGGGUUAUUAGAGUGAAUGGGGUCAUUGGUGUCAGUGGGGUCAUUGGAGUAAAUAGGGUCAUUGAAGUGAAUGGGGUCAUUGGAUUCAAUCGGAUCAUAAGGGUCAAUGUGGUCCCUGCGGCAAUGGGGGUCAUUAGGGUCAAAGGGUGUUAUUGGGGUCAUUGUAGUCAAUGGAGUCAUUGGGGUCAAUUGGUUCAUUGGGGUCAAGUGGCUUAAUGCGGUCAGUGGGGGUUAUUGGAGUCAAUGGAGUCAUUGGGAUUAAUGGGGUCAGUGGGGUCAAUAGGGUCAUAUGAGCUUAAUGGGGUCACUGGGGUCAGUAGGGUUAAUGGGUUGUUGGGGUCUUAUGGGGUCAUGGGUAUCAUUAGGAUCUUUGGGAUCGGUGGGGUCAGUGGGGUCAUGUGGGGUCACUGGGCCCAUGUGGGAUCAUUGGGAUCAUGAGGAUCAGUGGGGUUAUAUGGUUCAUGUGAGGUCACUGUGGUCACUCGGUCAAAAAGGUCUAUGGGGUCAGUCGGGCCUAUGGGGUCAUUGGAGGCCAGAAGGGUUUGGGCUUCCAAGCAAUCACCAAGCUUUUGGAUGAGCCAGCCCUCUGCUUUUUGUGAGGACAGACCCCAACGAGCCCACAUAACCCGAAUAACCUCCUUGACCCCCACAGACAAGUCCUCCUUGGAAAGCCAUCUCGGCAAGGGCAGAAUAGCGCUGUUCUUGGGCCGCAGCACUCCAUGGCCAGGCGCUGCUCAGACACUGGGGCUGCAUUUCCUCCUGGGCACCCACACAUGCUGCGAUUCCCCUGCAGGUUCCUGCCGGGUUUGUGGCUUCCUGCUGGGGAACUCCUCAUCUUCUUCUGCAACUGCCCCCCAACGUCACUACUGCCUCCUCUGGUGCUGUACUGGCAGAUGCCUCAGCGUUCAUGAGCCUGGACUUCCUGCCUCCCAUCAGCAGCUGCUCCUUCAUUCAUACUGCAAUACCGUCCACUUCCAGCUCCAGCAGAGCUGCAAGGCAGAGAUGGGAAACGUGGGAUUAAUGCAAAAGCAGAAGCCCAAGGCUGUCCCACCACCACGUAUUGCAGCCUCGGAAAGUCAGCUGCAACUACAACCUCUGUCAGAAUCAAAACAGGCACCGUACAUUAAGGGUCACCUCUGAACUGAAGGAAUUACCACAGUUGGAAAUAAAUACUGAAAUUGCUCAUUUA
Long non-coding RNA from Gallus gallus (chicken), 5784 nucleotides. RefSeq lists it as uncharacterized. Lineage: Eukaryota; Metazoa; Chordata; Aves; Galliformes; Phasianidae. The transcript has 3 exons. The record is from RefSeq and is a predicted model, not a curated record.